Molecule: non-coding RNA, 46 nt
Organism: Calypte anna (Anna's hummingbird)
Lineage: Eukaryota; Metazoa; Chordata; Aves; Apodiformes; Trochilidae
Source: Rfam
CCAAAGGCUCUUUUCAGAGCCACCCACAAGGUCAAAAAAGAGUUGU